This 316-nucleotide ribosomal RNA is filed under the name Myrothecium sp. 14016. Its description in RNAcentral is "eukaryotic LSU rRNA". It matches the Rfam family "Eukaryotic large subunit ribosomal RNA", at positions 1 to 320 of the family's 3401-position model. The record is from RNAcentral. Lineage: Eukaryota; Fungi; Ascomycota; Sordariomycetes; Hypocreales; Stachybotryaceae.
UUGACCUCGGAUCAGGUAGGAAUACCCGCUGAACUUAAGCAUAUCAAUAAGCGGAGGAAAAGAAACCAACAGGGAUUGCCUCAGUAACGGCGAGUGAAGCGGCAACAGCUCAAAUUUGAAAUCUGGCCCUAGGCCCGAGUUGUAAUUUGCAGAGGAUGCUUUUGGCAAGGUGCCUUCCGAGUUCCCUGGAACGGGACGCCAUAGAGGGUGAGAGCCCCGUCUGGUCGGACACCGAGCCUCUGUAAAGCUCCUUCGACGAGUCGAGUAGUUUGGGAAUGCUGCUCAAAAUGGGAGGUAUAUGUCUUCUAAAGCUAAA